This 680-nucleotide long non-coding RNA is filed under the name Junco hyemalis (dark-eyed junco). Its description in RNAcentral is "lncRNA (ENSJHYG00000000080.1)". The record is from RNAcentral. Lineage: Eukaryota; Metazoa; Chordata; Aves; Passeriformes; Passerellidae.
UGCUGCUGGCUUUUCUGUAAACAUGGGGCUGGCUACUACAUUUAUAUUUUAUAUUUUUUCUGUCAGAACCCAGACAAGGGUGGCAUGAAGGUGACAACCUGGAAAAAAGACAGUAUCGAACUUUUGGAGAAAGUGCUGUGGCAGGAAAGCGAUUGCUCCAGGCUAGUUUUGGCAGAAGAGCUUGUUCCUCAAAAGAAGCAAGGGAUGGAACAAAUUCAGAAGCAGGACACAGUGAAAUUUUCUGGCUGAGUAGGCAACCAAGUCUGCAAGACUCAAGUCUCAAAACAUCACUCUAUUAUUCUCUAAGAAGAAGCAAGACCAAGGCUGCCAAAUGGAACAGCUCAAGCUGAGCUCUUUAGCCCCACAUCUGCAAAGAUAGGCAACUUUUUUUGUCCUUACAGAAACUAUGGCGAUGGUGACAGAGAAAUUUCAAGUUUUACAUAAGGACAAUGGGGCAAGGAGUCCAAAACCAUUGAGAAGAAGAGACCAGUUUACUUUUAAAGCAAAUGCACCCUGAAUAGCUCUGCAGAUCUUCAUCUAGACUCACAUUGGCACUGAGAAAAGACAGUGUGUAUUUUCAGAGGCAGCAUUCUGGAAGUGCAAGGUAGAGAUCAAGAAGUAUGUGAAGGGAUUUUUGGAUUACCUUUGUGCUUCUAAAUAAAUGAGGGUCACACGGAUCA